AGAGUUUGAUCAUGGCUCAGGAUGAACGCUGGCGGCGUGCCUAAUACAUGCAAGUCGAGCGGUAAGGCCCUUCGGGGUACACGAGCGGCGGACGGCUGAGUAACACGUAGGAACGUACCCCAAAGUGAGGGAUAAGCACCAGAAAUGGUGUCUAAUACCGCAUGUGCUCUAAGGAGUAAAGCUCCGGCGCUUUGGGAACGGCCUGCGCAUGAUUAGCUAGAUGGUGAGGUAAUGGCUCACCAUGGCGACGAUCAUUAGCUGGUCUGAGAGGAUGAUCAGUCAGACUGGGACUGAGACACGGCCCAGACUCCUACGGGAGGCAGCAGUAGGGAAUUUUCCACAAUGGGCGAAAGCCUGAUGGAGCAACGCCGCGUGCAGGAUGAAUGCCUUCGGGUUGUAAACUGCUUUUAUAUGUGACGAAUAUGACGGUAGCAUAUGAAUAAGGAUCGGCUAACUCCGUGCCAGCAGCCGCGGUCAUACGGAGGAUCCAAGCGUUAUCCGGAAUUACUGGGCGUAAAGAGUUGCGUAGGCGGCAUAGUAAGCAGAUAGUGAAAGCGUGUGGCUCAACCAUACUCACAUUAUCUGAACUGCUAAGCUAGAGGACGAGAGAGGUCACUGGAAUUCCUAGUGUAGGAGUGAAAUCCGUAGAUAUUAGGAGGAACACCAAUGGCGUAGGCAGGUGACUGGCUCGUUCCUGACGCUCAGGCACGAAAGCGUGGGGAGCAAACGGGAUUAGAUACCCCGGUAGUCCACGCCGUAAACGAUGGAUGCUAGCUGUUAGAGGUAUCGACCCCUCU
RNAcentral lists this ribosomal RNA (797 nucleotides) under bacterium enrichment culture. Its description in RNAcentral is "bacterial SSU rRNA". It matches the Rfam family "Bacterial small subunit ribosomal RNA", at positions 8 to 841 of the family's 1533-position model. The record is from RNAcentral.